CCCUUAGAUGUCCUGGGCCGCACGCGUGCUACACUGACGCAUACAGCGAGCACUUUCCAGUUCCGAGAGGCUACUGGUAAUCAUCAAUAUGCGUCGUGAUGGGGAUAGAUCUUUGGAAUUCUGGAUCUUGAACGAGGAAUGCCUAGUAAUCGCAGGUCAUUAGCCUGCGAUGAUUAAGUCCCUGCCCUUUGUACACACCGCCCGUCGCUACUACCGAUUUCGAGUGGUCAGGUGAAUCUUUCGGACUGUGGGCGCCCUUGAGGUGUUCGCGGAAAGUCAGGUAAAUCUUAUCACUUAGAGGAAGUAAAANUCGUAACA
RNAcentral lists this ribosomal RNA (318 nucleotides) under uncultured eukaryote. Its description in RNAcentral is "partial 18S ribosomal RNA". It matches the Rfam family "Eukaryotic small subunit ribosomal RNA", at positions 1470 to 1796 of the family's 1831-position model. The record is from RNAcentral.